AGCGGUGGAGUAUGUGGCUUAAUUCGAAGCAACGCGCAGAACCUUACCAGGGCUUGACAUGUAUGGAUUAGUUGUGUGAAAGCACAAUGACGCUCGCAAGAGUGGAACUUACACAGGUGCUGCAUGGCUGUCGUCAGCUCGUGCUGUGAAGUGUCGGGUUAAGUCCCAUAACGAGCGAAACCCCUAUCGUUAGUUGCCAGCAUGUAAUGGUGGGCACUCUAACGAGACUGCCGGUGUUAAACCGGAGGAAGGCGGGGAUGACGUCAAGUCCUCAUGG
Molecule: ribosomal RNA, 277 nt
Filed under: uncultured Planctomycetota bacterium
Lineage: Bacteria; Pseudomonadati; Planctomycetota
Description: uncultured planctomycete partial 16S ribosomal RNA
Rfam family: Bacterial small subunit ribosomal RNA
Source: RNAcentral